UACGUAGGGUGCAAGCGUUGUCCGGAAUUAUUGGGCGUAAAGAGCUCGUAGGCGGUUUGUUGCGUCGGCUGUGAAAUCCCGAGGCUCAACCUCGGGUCUGCAGUCGAUACGAGCAAACUAGAGUGUUGCAGGGGAGGCUGGAAUUCCUGGUGUAGCGGUGAAAUGCGCAGAUAUCAGGAGGAACACCGGUGGCGAAGGCGGGUCUCUGGGCAACAACUGACGCUGAGGAGCGAAAGCGUGGGGAGCGAACAGG
Molecule: ribosomal RNA, 253 nt
Filed under: uncultured bacterium
Lineage: Bacteria
Description: partial 16S ribosomal RNA
Rfam family: Bacterial small subunit ribosomal RNA
Source: RNAcentral